UCCUCAAUAGCUCAGUGGUAGAGCAUUCGGCUGUUAACCGAAGGGUCGUAGGUUCGAGCCCUACUUGAGGAGCCA
Molecule: transfer RNA, 75 nt
Filed under: Clostridia bacterium
Lineage: Bacteria; Bacillati; Bacillota; Clostridia
Description: tRNA-Asn
Rfam family: tRNA
About the family: Transfer RNA (tRNA) molecules are approximately 80 nucleotides in length. Their secondary structure includes four short double-helical elements and three loops (D, anti-codon, and T loops).
Source: RNAcentral